RNAcentral lists this ribosomal RNA (638 nucleotides) under uncultured Lachnospiraceae bacterium. Its description in RNAcentral is "bacterial SSU rRNA". It matches the Rfam family "Bacterial small subunit ribosomal RNA", at positions 105 to 759 of the family's 1533-position model. Lineage: Bacteria; Bacillati; Bacillota; Clostridia; Lachnospirales; Lachnospiraceae. The record is from RNAcentral.
GGUGAGUAACGCGUGAGGAACCUGCCUUUCAGAGGGGGACAACAGUUGGAAACGACUGCUAAUACCGCACGACACAUAGAGAUCGCAUGGUUUUUAUGUCAAAGAUUUAUCGCUGAAAGAUGGCCUCGCGUCUGAUUAGCUAGUUGGUGAGGUAACGGCCCACCAAGGCGACGAUCAGUAGCCGGACUGAGAGGUUGACCGGCCACAUUGGGACUGAGAUACGGCCCAGACUCCUACGGGAGGCAGCAGUGGGGAAUAUUGGGCAAUGGGCGCAAGCCUGACCCAGCAACGCCGCGUGAAGGAAGAAGGCUUUCGGGUUGUAAACUUCUUUUGUCGGGGACGAGUAGAAGACGGUACCUGGCGAAUAAGCCACGGCUAACUACGUGCCAGCAGCCGCGGUAAUACGUAGGUGGCAAGCGUUGUCCGGAUUUACUGGGUGUAAAGGGCGUGUAGCCGGGAAGGCAAGUCAGAUGUGAAAUCCACGGGCUUAACUCGUGAACUGCAUUUGAAACUACUUUUCUUGAGUAUCGGAGAGGCAAUCGGAAUUCCUAGUGUAGCGGUGAAAUGCGUAGAUAUUAGGAGGAACACCAGUGGCGAAGGCGGAUUGCUGGACGACAACUGACGGUGAGGCGCGAAAG